ACGUUUUAAAAACUCUGCUUCAAAACAUGGUAGUCCAGAAGGAACAGAGAAUUGAAGGAAAAAAUAGGCAGAGUUAACGAAAGAAAGCUAUCUGAAGACUUCACUUAUGAAAGUAGAAAAAUGUCAUAUGGAGCCCUGGGAACUCGGCAGAGUAGGGGUCUUUGUACAUAAUGAGGGAUAUUCAGGUUCAACAGGAGAUGACAGAAGAACAAGAUGAUGGAGCAGUGGCCAGUGGGACAGGAGGGUGUGAUUAUGUCAACAACAAAGGCAAACUUGAAGAGCAAAGCGUAGCAGUUAAAGAUGUCUCCGUACAACAGGAACACACAUUUGUGGCAAGAUCAGAAGGAGCUGGGCUUCUAGCAUCCAGGGUGAGCCCUGACCUGGCUGAGAGCAUAGCAACCGGCACACCCUCCUGCUGUGGGAAGAGUCGGCCUCAUAGGUGCCUUCUCCUUGGUUUUCCUCUUCAGAUAUGCAGAAAAGAAGUUCCUUCCAUGUCUGACAGCUUUCUCAAGGUCAGUGGAGUGAUUCUUUUUUUUACAGUAGAAUUUCACUUAUUUUGAUUUCUAAGAGGAAAAAAAAAAUCAAGCCUCAGUGUGUAUUCUCAGAGAUUUGUGCCAGGUCUAUUAUCCGGCCCCACUUCUCAGAGAUCCUUAACUCUGCUGGCCCUGAACAUGGUUUACCAAUGACAAUGGUGCCAGUGAACAGAACUGAGGUAAAGGAAAUUGAUUAAGUCUUGCAAUUAGUAGAAUAGGCUCCAGCUAGCACUGCAAUAGAGUAUAUAUCGAGGUAUUUGGACUGAGAUCAAAUCUUAAUAUCAGGUCUUAAUAUCUUAAGACCUCUACGAAAUGGCCUGGUCUGGAAGGUUAUGCAAAAAUUUCUAGGAUGAGGACUAACUUAUGGGCAUUUGAAUGUUUGAGGUAGUGAGGUGAGAGGAAAUCAUAAUUCAUGAGCUAUUUUCAAACCAGAGAAGUAUUAGAAUAUGCAAAUAAAUGUAUAUGAAUGAGAAAGAGUUUCA
Molecule: long non-coding RNA, 1015 nt
Filed under: Felis catus (domestic cat)
Lineage: Eukaryota; Metazoa; Chordata; Mammalia; Carnivora; Felidae
Description: lncRNA (ENSFCAG00000047734.1)
Source: RNAcentral